RNAcentral lists this long non-coding RNA (304 nucleotides) under Salmo salar (Atlantic salmon). RNAcentral's name for it is "lncRNA (ENSSSAG00000111244.1)". The record is from RNAcentral. Lineage: Eukaryota; Metazoa; Chordata; Actinopteri; Salmoniformes; Salmonidae.
GUAGAGUGUUGUGGGGGGGUGGAGGGAGCGGUGUGUGUGUGUGAGUUACAGGGUGGUGGUAGAGUGUUGUGGGGGGUGGAGGGAGCGGUGUGUGUGUGUGAGUUACAGGGUGGUGGUAGAGUGUUGUGGGGGGUGGAGGGAGUGGUGUGUGUGUGAGUUACAGGGUGGUGGUAGAGUUUUGUGGGGGGUGGAGGGAGCGGUGUGUGUGUGAGUUACAGGGUGGUGGUAGAGUGUUGUGGGGGGGUGGCGGGAGUGGUGUGUGUGUGAGUUACAGGGUGGUGGUAGAGUGUUGUGGGGGGUGGAG